AGCAGCCGCGGUAAUUCCAGCUGCAAUAGCGUAUAUUAAAGUUGUUGCAGUUAAAAAGCUCGUAGUUGAAUUGCGGGAUCAAUACGUCGGUCGGGCUUUCGGGUACGUACUGGCGUCAGUUGGUUUCUCCUUUCGGACGAACCAUGAUGUCAUUAAUUUGGUGUUAUGGGGAGUUGGGACUGUUACUUUGAAAAAAUUAGAGUGUUUAAAGCAGGCGUUAGCUUGAAUACAUUAGCAUGGAAUAAUGAAAGAGGACGUUCGAUCCUAUUUUGUUGGGUUCUAGGAUCAACGUAAGGAUUAAUAGGGAUAGUUGGGGGCAUUAGUAUUCGACUGUCAGAGGUGAAAUUCUUGGAUUUAUUGAAGACUAGCUACUGCGAAAGCAUUUGCCAAGGAUGUUUGCAUUAGUCAGGAACGAAGGUGAGGGGAUCGAAGACGAUCAGAUACCGUCGUAGUCUUAACCAUAAACUAUGCCGACUAGGGAUCGGAUGAUGUUAGUUUUUUGAUGACUCA
This 510-nucleotide ribosomal RNA is filed under the name uncultured Glomus. Its description in RNAcentral is "SSU rRNA". It matches the Rfam family "Eukaryotic small subunit ribosomal RNA", at positions 569 to 1078 of the family's 1831-position model. Lineage: Eukaryota; Fungi; Glomeromycota; Glomeromycetes; Glomerales; Glomeraceae. The record is from RNAcentral.